GGGUCCCUGGAGGACUAGUGGUUAGGCCAUGGCGCUCUCACCACCGUGGCCCAGGUUCGAUUCUACUGGGGUUGCA
Molecule: non-coding RNA, 76 nt
Organism: Pangasius djambal
Lineage: Eukaryota; Metazoa; Chordata; Actinopteri; Siluriformes; Pangasiidae
Source: the annotation of a GenBank genome assembly